Molecule: ribosomal RNA, 428 nt
Filed under: uncultured bacterium
Lineage: Bacteria
Description: bacterial SSU rRNA
Rfam family: Bacterial small subunit ribosomal RNA
Source: RNAcentral
GUAGGGAAUAUUGCACAAUGGGGGAAACCCUGAUGCAGCGACGCCGCGUGAGUGAUGAAGGCCUUCGGGUCGUAAAGCUCUGUCGUAUGGGACUAACACAAUGAAGGUACCAUGCAAGAAAGGAUCGGCUAACUUCGUGCCAGCAGCCGCGGUAAGACGAGGGAUCCUAGCGUUGUUCGGAAUCAUUGGGCGUAAAGCGGGUGUAGGCGGAUUUAUAAGUCAGGUGUGAAAUCCCAGGGCUCAACCCUGGAAGUGCACUUGAUACUGUAAAUCUUGAGUGUGGUAGAGGUUACUGGAAUUGUUGGUGUAGUGGUGAAAUACGUAGAUAUCAACAGGAAUACCGGAGGCGAAGGCGAGUAACUGGGCCAACACUGACGCUGAGACCCGAAAGCGUGGGGAUCAAACAGGAUUAGAUACCCCUGUAGUCC